CCUACGGGAGGCAGCAGUGAGGAAUUUUGCGCAAUGGGGGAAACCCUGACGCAGCAACGCCGCGUGGGUGAAGAAGGCUUUCGGGUCGUAAAGCCCUGUCAGGUGGGAAGAAACUCUUCAGUACUAAUAAUGCUGAAGCCUGACGGUACCACCAGAGGAAGCACCGGCCAACUCCGUGCCAGCAGCCGCGGUAAUACGGAGGGUGCAAGCGUUGUUCGGAAUUAUUGGGCGUAAAGAGCGUGUAGGCGGCUUGGUAAGUCAGAUGUGAAAGCCCUGGGCUCAACCCAGGAAGUGCAUUUGAAACUACCAGACUUGAGUACGGGAGAGGAGGGGGGAAUUCCCGGUGUAGAGGUGAAAUUCGUAGAUAUCGGGAGGAAUACCGGUGGCGAAGGCGCCCCUUUGGACCGAUACUGACGCUGAGACGCGAAAGCGUGGGGAGCAAACAGGAUUAGAUACCCUGGUAGUCCACGCCGUAAACGAUGAGCACUAGGUGUAGCGGGUAUUGACCCCUGCUGUGCCGUAGCUAACGCAUUAAGUGCUCCGCCUGGGGACUACGGUCGCAAGACUAAAACUCAAAGGAAUUGACGG
This 588-nucleotide ribosomal RNA is filed under the name uncultured delta proteobacterium. Its description in RNAcentral is "bacterial SSU rRNA". It matches the Rfam family "Bacterial small subunit ribosomal RNA", at positions 338 to 916 of the family's 1533-position model. RNAcentral also lists the same sequence under 1 other name. The record is from RNAcentral. Lineage: Bacteria; Deltaproteobacteria.